UGAUAUAGGGUCGAAGGUCAUAAUGCGUACAUGCUUGCAUGUAAAGCAGUAUGACUUUACGACCCGAACAAAUAUGAGGAAAAAGCAAUUUACGAAGUAAAUUAGCGGUUUCCGAGGCCAGUAGUACUUAACGAGGCACGAGUUUAGUACUACUCCCA
This 158-nucleotide small RNA is filed under the name Butyrivibrio sp. INlla14. Its description in RNAcentral is "Clostridiales-1 RNA". It matches the Rfam family "Clostridiales-1 RNA". Lineage: Bacteria; Bacillati; Bacillota; Clostridia; Lachnospirales; Lachnospiraceae. The record is from RNAcentral.